GUGGAAAUCGUUCUCUGUUUGGUGGCUGCGAAAAUCUUCAAAAGUAAUAGGUUGAUUCCAAAAUAUUCAUGUACUCCUUUUUUGAUAUUGAGAAUAUGGGAAAAGAAAAUUAAAUUGAACAGUUACAUCAUCUGGAAUCUAGAGGAGCAAAAAGACUACAUGCCUUUCGUUUGCCUAUCUUUUCCUUUUUAUUUAGUGAUUCAUUAUUUUGGAUAAUAAGAAGCUA
RNAcentral lists this unclassified non-coding RNA (226 nucleotides) under Hevea brasiliensis (rubber tree). The record is from RNAcentral. Lineage: Eukaryota; Viridiplantae; Streptophyta; Magnoliopsida; Malpighiales; Euphorbiaceae.